This 624-nucleotide ribosomal RNA is filed under the name Mesorhizobium sp. Its description in RNAcentral is "partial 23S ribosomal RNA". It matches the Rfam family "Bacterial large subunit ribosomal RNA", at positions 84 to 711 of the family's 2925-position model. Lineage: Bacteria; Pseudomonadati; Pseudomonadota; Alphaproteobacteria; Hyphomicrobiales; Phyllobacteriaceae. The record is from RNAcentral.
AGGUGCGAAUACCCUUUGAUCCGUAGAUUUCCGAAUGGGGAAACCCACCUAAGGUACUUGGAAAAUCAGAGCUGCAGAGCGAUCUGCCGCUGUGGUUUCCAAGUAUCGAUAAUAGGUAACUUAUCCUGAAUACAUAGGGAUAAAGUGGCGAACGCGGGGAACUGAAACAUCUAAGUACCCGUAGGAAAGGACAUCAACCGAGACUCCGGAAGUAGUGGCGAGCGAACCCGGACCAGGCCAGUGGCGAUUGAGAGACAAGCGGAACCUUCUGGAAAGUUGGGCCAUAGCGGGUGACAGCCCCGUACGCGUAAUGCGAUCAAUCGUCCUCGAGUAAGGCGGGACACGUGAAAUCCUGUCUGAAAUUGGGAGGACCACCUUCCAAGCCUAAGUACUCGUGCAUGACCGAUAGCGAACUAGUACCGUGAGGGAAAGGUGAAAAGCACCCCGACAAGGGGAGUGAAAGAGUACCUGAAACCGAUUGCCUACAAACAGUGGGAGCCCGCAAGGGUGACCACGUACCUUUUGUAUAAUGGGUCAGCGACUUAGUGUGACGAGCAAGCUUAAACCGAUAGGUGUAGGCGCAGCGAAAGCGAGUCUGAACAGGGCGUUCAGUUCGUCGCAUUA